AUACGUAGGUGACAAGCGUUAUCCGGAUUUACUGGGCGUAAAGGGCGUGUAGGCGGUCUUGCAAGUCAGAAGUGAAAUUCCUGAGCUCAACUCGGGCGCUGCUUCUGAAACUGCAGGACUUGAGUGCUGGAGGGGAUAGCGGAAUUCCUAGUGGAGCGGUAAAAUGCGCAGAUAUUAGGAAGAACACCGGUGGCGAAGGCGGCUAUCUGGACAGUAACGGACGCUGAGGCGCGAAAGCGUGGGGAGCAAACAGGAUUAGAUACCCUGGUAGUCCACGCCGUAAACGAUGAGUGCUAGGUGUCGGGGGUCAAACCUCGGUGCCGCAGUUAACACAUUAAGCACUCCGCCUGGGGAGUACGGCCGCAAGGCUGAAACUCAAAUGAAUUGGCGGGG
RNAcentral lists this ribosomal RNA (393 nucleotides) under uncultured bacterium. Its description in RNAcentral is "partial 16S ribosomal RNA". It matches the Rfam family "Bacterial small subunit ribosomal RNA", at positions 523 to 918 of the family's 1533-position model. The record is from RNAcentral.